UUGACAGCCCUAGAGGCUGCAAUCCUCUCUAUAGCCAUAGACCAGAUACAGCAGAAUCAACAGCCGUGCAAGCUUUCCCACCAUGUCCUUCAAAUCAAGCAACUAGAGCAGGGGUAGGCAACCUAUGGCACGUGUGCCGAAGGCAGCA
RNAcentral lists this small RNA (148 nucleotides) under Gopherus agassizii (Agassiz's desert tortoise). RNAcentral describes it as "TUC338 (ENSGAGG00000005740.1)". The record is from RNAcentral. Lineage: Eukaryota; Metazoa; Chordata; Testudines; Testudinidae.